RNAcentral lists this microRNA (34 nucleotides) under Vombatus ursinus (common wombat). Its description in RNAcentral is "miRNA (ENSVURG00010009462.1)". The record is from RNAcentral. Lineage: Eukaryota; Metazoa; Chordata; Mammalia; Diprotodontia; Vombatidae.
UAGUGGAAAGAGCACUGGACUUGGAGGCAGUAAG